This 253-nucleotide unclassified non-coding RNA is filed under the name uncultured Rhodobacterales bacterium. Its description in RNAcentral is "contains 16S-23S intergenic spacer region". It matches the Rfam family "Bacterial small subunit ribosomal RNA", at positions 524 to 776 of the family's 1533-position model. The record is from RNAcentral. Lineage: Bacteria; Pseudomonadati; Pseudomonadota; Alphaproteobacteria; Rhodobacterales.
UACGGAGGGUGCGAGCGUUGUUCGGAAUUACUGGGCGUAAAGCGCGAGUAGGCGGAUUAGUAAGUCAGAGGUGGAAUCCCAGGGCUCAACCUUGGAACUGCCUUUGAUACUGCUAGUCUUGAGUUCGAGAGAGGUGAGUGGAAUUCCGAGUGUAGAGGUGAAAUUCGUAGAUAUUCGGAGGAACACCAGUGGCGAAGGCGGCUCACUGGCUCGAUACUGACGCUGAAGUGCGAAAGUGUGGGGAGCAAACAGG